CCUACGGGAGGCAGCAGUGGGGAAUAUUGCACAAUGGUGGGAACACUGAUGCAGCGACGCCGCGUGAGUGAAGAAGUAUCUCGGUAUGUAAAGCUCUAUCAGCAGGGAAAAAAAUGACGGUACCCGAUUAAGAAGCCCCGGCUAACUACGGGCCAGCAGCCGCGGUAAUACGUAGGGGGCAAGCGUUAUCCGGAUUUACUGGGUGUAAAGGGGGCGGAGACGGCAGCACAAGUCUGGAGGGAAAUGCCGGGGCUUAACCCCGGAACUGCUGUUGAAACUGUGCAGCUAGAGUGAAGGAGAGGUAAGCGGAAUGCCCAGUGUAGCGGUGAAAUGCGUAGAUAUCAGGAGGAACACCAGUGGCGAAGGCGGCUUACUGGACUGUAACUGACGUUGAGGCUCGAAAGCGUGGGGAGCAAACAGGAUUAGAUACCCUAGUAGUC
RNAcentral lists this ribosomal RNA (440 nucleotides) under uncultured bacterium. RNAcentral's name for it is "partial 16S ribosomal RNA". It matches the Rfam family "Bacterial small subunit ribosomal RNA", at positions 338 to 795 of the family's 1533-position model. The record is from RNAcentral.